UGCAAGUCGAGGGGUAACAGGGGGUGCUUGCACUCUGCUGACGACCCCCGUAAGGGGUGCGUAACGCGUAUGCAACCUACCGUUCUACAGGGGGAUAGCCCAGAGAAAUUUGGAAUAAUACCCCAUACGAUCUUUACUUGGCAUCGGGUAAAGAAGAAAACUUCGGUGGUAGAAGAUGGGCAUGCGUCCUAUUAGUUAGUUGGUGAGGUAACGGCUCACCAAGACAUCGAUAGGUAGGGGCCCUGAGAGGGGGAUCCCCCACACUGGUACUGAGACACGGACCAGACUCCUACGGGAGGCAGCAGUGAGGAAUAUUGGACAAUGGAGGCAACUCUGAUCCAGCCAUGCCGCGUGCAGGAAGACUGCCCUAUGGGUUGUAAACUGCUUUUAUACAGGAAGAAACUGCGCUACGUGUAGCGUACUGACGGUACUGUAAGAAUAAGGAUCGGCUAACUCCGUGCCAGCAGCCGCGGUAAUACGGAGGAUCCAAGCGUUAUCCGGAAUCAUUGGGUUUAAAGGGU
Molecule: ribosomal RNA, 521 nt
Filed under: uncultured bacterium
Lineage: Bacteria
Description: bacterial SSU rRNA
Rfam family: Bacterial small subunit ribosomal RNA
Source: RNAcentral